RNAcentral lists this ribosomal RNA (1049 nucleotides) under uncultured archaeon. RNAcentral describes it as "bacterial SSU rRNA". It matches the Rfam family "Archaeal small subunit ribosomal RNA", at positions 1 to 1057 of the family's 1478-position model. The record is from RNAcentral.
AUCCGGUUGAUCCUGCCGGACCUGACUGCUAUCGGAUUGAUACUAAGCCAUGCGAGUCAUUGUAGCAAUACAAGGCAGACGGCUCAGUAACGCGUAGUCAACCUACCCUAUGGACGGGAAUAACCUCGGGAAACUGAGUAUAAUGCCCGAUAGAACAUUAUGCCUGGAAUGGUUUAUGUUCCAAAUGAUUUAUCGCCGUAGGAUGGGACUGCGUCCUAUCAGUUUGUUGGUGAGGUAAUGGCCCACCAAGACUAUUACAGGUACGGGCUCUGAGAGGAGUAGCCCGGAGAUGGGUACUGAGACACGGACCCAGGCCCUAUGGGGCGCAGCAGGCGAGAAAACUUUGCAAUGUGCGAAAGCACGACAAGGUUAAUCCGAGUGGUUUCUGCUAAAGGAACCUUUUGUUAGUCCUAAAAACACUAACGAAUAAGGGGUGGGCAAGUUCUGGUGUCAGCCGCCGCGGUAAAACCAGCACCUCAAGUGGUCAGGAUGAUUAUUGGGCCUAAAGCAUCCGUAGCCGGCUCUGUAAGUUUUCGGUUAAAUCUAUGUGCUCAACGUAUGGGCUGCCGAAAAUACUGCAGGGCUAGGGAGUGGGAGAGGUAGACGGUACUCGGGAGGAAGUGGUAAAAUGCUUUGAUCUUUCGAUGACCACCUGUGGCGAAGGCGGUCUACCAGAACACGUCCGACGGUGAGGGAUGAAAGCUGGGGGAGCAAACCGGAUUAGAUACCCGGGUAGUCCCAGCCGUAAACUAUGCAAACUCAGUGAUGCAUUGGCUUGUGGCCAAUGCAGUGUUGCAGGGAAGCCGUUAAGUUUGCCGCCUGGGAAGUACGUACGCAAGUAUGAAACUUAAAGGAAUUGGCGGGGGAGCACCACAAGGGGUGAAGCCUGCGGUUCAAUUGGAGUCAACGCCAGAAAUCUUACCCGGAGAGACAGCAGAAUGAAGGUCAAGCUGAAGACUUUACCAGACAAGCUGAGAGGUGGUGCAUGGCCGUCGCCAGCUCGUGCCGUGAGAUGUCCUGUUAAGUCAGGUAACGAGCGAGAUCCCUGC